This 514-nucleotide ribosomal RNA is filed under the name uncultured fungus. RNAcentral's name for it is "eukaryotic LSU rRNA". The stretch from base 174 to 327 matches the Rfam family "5.8S ribosomal RNA". The record is from RNAcentral. Lineage: Eukaryota; Fungi.
CGUAGUCGCCUGGGUUGCCGCCAAGGCCUCCCGGGUAACCUACCACCCUUUGUUUAUUACACUUUGUUGCUUUGGCAGGCCUGCCCUCGGGCUGCUGGCUCCGGCCGGCGAGCGCUUGCCAGAGGACCUAAACUCUGUUUGUCUAUACUGUCUGAGUACUAUAUAAUAGUUAAAACUUUCAACAACGGAUCUCUUGGUUCUGGCAUCGAUGAAGAACGCAGCGAAAUGCGAUAAGUAAUGUGAAUUGCAGAAUUCAGUGAAUCAUCGAAUCUUUGAACGCACAUUGCGCCCCCUGGUAUUCCGGGGGGCAUGCCUGUCCGAGCGUCAUUACAACCCUCAAGCUCAGCUUGGUAUUGGGCCCCGCCGACCCGGCGGGCCCUAAAGUCAGUGGCGGUGCCGUCCGGCUCCGAGCGUAGUAAUUCUUCUCGCUCUGGAGGUCCGGUCGUGUGCUCGCCAGCAACCCCCAAUUUUUCAGGUUGACCUCGGAUCAGGUAGGGAUACCCGCUGAACUUAA